Molecule: ribosomal RNA, 138 nt
Organism: Ictidomys tridecemlineatus (thirteen-lined ground squirrel)
Lineage: Eukaryota; Metazoa; Chordata; Mammalia; Rodentia; Sciuridae
Source: Ensembl
CUGUCUGGACAUACAACCCUGAAUGUGCCCAAUUUUGUCUGAUCUUAGAAGCUAAGUAAGGUCAGGCAAGGUUAGUACAUGGGUGGGAUGGGGUGGGGGAGAAGACAGAGGACCCCACCAAAAAACAUUCCAGUUGUG